UUGUACUGUAAGAAUAAAGGAUCGGCUAACUCCGUGCCAGCAGCCGCGGUAAUACGGAGGAUCCAAGCGUUAUCCGGAUUCAUUGGGUUUAAAGGGUGCGUAGGCGGAAUGAUAAGUCAGUGGUGAAAUUCUCGCAGCUUAACUGCGAAACUGCCAUUGAUACUGUCAAUCUUGAGUACAUUUGAUGAGGGCGGAAUGUGUCAUGUAGCGGUGAAAUGCUUAGAUAUGACACAGAACACCGAUUGCGAAGGCAGCUCUCAAAACUGUAACUGACGCUGAGGCACGAAAGCGUGGGUAUCAAACAGGAUUAGAUACCCUGGUAGUCCACGCUGUAAACUAUGAUUACUCGAUGUUUGCGAUACACAGUAAGCGUCUAAGCGAAAGCGAUAAGUAAUCCACUGGGGAGUACGCUCGCAAGAGUGAAACUCAAAGGAAUUGACGGAGG
RNAcentral lists this ribosomal RNA (445 nucleotides) under uncultured bacterium. RNAcentral describes it as "bacterial SSU rRNA". It matches the Rfam family "Bacterial small subunit ribosomal RNA", at positions 473 to 919 of the family's 1533-position model. The record is from RNAcentral.